Molecule: long non-coding RNA, 1432 nt
Filed under: Mus musculus (house mouse)
Lineage: Eukaryota; Metazoa; Chordata; Mammalia; Rodentia; Muridae
Description: long non-coding RNA chr8:55059432-55060864
Source: RNAcentral
UCUGGAGAGAUCAGUGGCCACACGGCUAUCGGCCAUGGUUAAUGUUUUCAUCCAUCUAAGGUGCAAUUUCAAAAUUUCUAAGGGUAGGUUAAAAAAAAGUGCUUCUUAUCUUUGUUAACAUUGUAUUCUUUUUUCUUGAUGUUCGUAAAAGGUAUUUCUCUGAUUACUCAUGUUUAUGUUGUGAGCAUGUAGAAACAGUAAUGCUAAUGCAUGGCCAGUUGCCUUCCUAAGAUUGUGACACCAGGCUUACCUUUUCAAGUUUAGUAUAGAAACAAUUAUCAUGGAAAUAACUACUGUGGACUGUUGGAGAGUGAUCUUUUUUUGUGAUUUAUGCAGUGGCUGGAUUGGAUCUUUUAAUAUGCUAAUGUGGAAAAUUAAUUACCUUUAUGAAGGUGGUAUCUUAAACAUAAGCACACUAAACCCUCAAGACUUGUUUUACCCACUUAAAACUUUUAACGGAUUGCACCUCUGUAAGCUAUUUCUUAAAAUGUGUAUGAUAUAUUUGAAAAGACUUCCAUUAAUAUAAUAGCUUUGCUUGCAGCCUUCCAAUCUAUGUUGGUUUACCUGUAGUGUUUCUAAAGGGUGGUCAGAGGCCACUAGAGAAUGUAUUGUUUGGGAGUGUAGUGAUAUAUAUUUUGUGUUUUUAUUUCAAGUAAGUCAUUUUAACCAAAUGUUCAUUCACAUUCAUUUAUAAGAAGUACCUAUAUCAGACAAAUUUUAAAAGAAAAACAAUCAGUAUUAAUGGACCAAAUUUCGUGUUUGUUUUAACCUUGACUCUCUUUUGAUUCUUUCUAAUGCUACAAGAAUGCUGUGAAAUGUCAUUUAAAAUAAUGAUGUAGCCUGACAAGAAAUUUUGUCAGUGUAUAAACCUAGGUAGUAUUGUGCACUGAUUUGACCAUUGUGAAUUCCUCCUUCAGUGUAAGUGCAUUCCCAAUAAAAUUUAUUGAGUGAAACAAUCUUUGUACAACUACUAGUCAUGCAUCAUCAGUAAUUUUACAAGUUCUUGUAGUAGGUAGGGGGUAUUACUAGCGUUUCUGUGGCAUGAUUAUGCAUUCUGUAAUAUUAAUUUGGGGGUCCUUUUGCUUUUUAACACUUAGAUUAUCUUAAUGGUUCAACAUUUUUCUGAUAUAUGCAGUAUUAAAGAUAUUGAGCAAAAGUAUUAAUGGGCUUCUUUAAAUUCUAUAUUAUAGUGUUUCAGUUCUGUGUCUACAGUGUGUGAUGAUUUUUAAAACUGUCUUUUAAAUUUAUGUAAUGAUGUUGACAUUUUGACUUUUAUUUCUGGUUUUAGAGUUUGUAUUUUCAUGGAGUGCUUUGUAGCAGGCAUUACAAGUAAUCUGUUUUGUACAUAAAUGUGCCAACAGCUUGAUGGUGGCGUUUUUGAAAUGUAGAACAAAGUGCUUGCAAAAUGUAAUAAAUACACUUGUGUACUUUG